RNAcentral lists this ribosomal RNA (435 nucleotides) under uncultured bacterium. Its description in RNAcentral is "partial 16S ribosomal RNA". It matches the Rfam family "Bacterial small subunit ribosomal RNA", at positions 28 to 507 of the family's 1533-position model. The record is from RNAcentral.
GAUGAACGCUGGCGGUAUGCUUAACACAUGCAAGUCGAACGGACUCUUCGGAGUUAGUGGCGGACGGGUGAGUAACGCGUGAGAAUCUGGCUUUGGGUUCGGGACAACCACUGGAAACGGUGGCUAAUACCGGAUGUGCCGAGAGGUAAAAGAGAAAUUGCCUGAAGAUGAGCUCGCGUCUGAUUAGCUAGUUGGUGAGGUAAAGGCUCACCAAGGCAGCGAUCAGUAGCUGGUCUGAGAGGAUGACCAGCCACACUGGGACUGAGACACGGCCCAGACUCAUACGGGAGGCAGCAGUGGGGAAUUUUCCGCAAUGGGCGAAAGCCUGACGGAGCAGUACCGCGUGAGGGAAGAAGGCUCUUGGGUUGUAAACCUCUUUUCUUAGGGAAGAACAAAAUGACGGUACCUAAGGAAUCAGCAUCGGCUAACUCCGUG